CAAUAGCGUAUAUUAAAGUUGUUGCGGUUAAAAAGCUCGUAGUUGGAUUUCUGCUGAGGACGACCGGUCCGCCCUCUGGGUGAGCAUCUGGUUCGGCCUUGGCAUCUUCUUGGGGAACGUAGCUGCACUUGACUGUGUGGUGCGGUAUCCAGGACUUUUACUUUGAGGAAAUUAGAGUGUUUCAAGCAGGCGCACGCCUUGAAUACAUUAGCAUGGAAUAAUAAGAUAGGACCUCGGUUCUAUUUUGUUGGUUUCUAGAGCUGAGGUAAUGAUUAAUAGGGAUAGUUGGGGGCAUUCGUAUUUAACUGUCAAAGGUGAAAUUCUUGGAUUUGUUAAAGACGGACUACUGCGAAAGCAUCUGCCAAGGAUGUUUUCAUUGA
Molecule: ribosomal RNA, 380 nt
Filed under: uncultured eukaryote
Lineage: Eukaryota
Description: partial 18S ribosomal RNA
Rfam family: Eukaryotic small subunit ribosomal RNA
Source: RNAcentral